Molecule: long non-coding RNA, 443 nt
Organism: Fukomys damarensis (Damara mole-rat)
Lineage: Eukaryota; Metazoa; Chordata; Mammalia; Rodentia; Bathyergidae
Exons: 2
Source: RefSeq, a predicted model, not a curated record
AAGAAGAUACUGGGACUCUGCUCUUCUUUGCUCUUCCUCUUCCGGCUGAAGGGGAGAGACCUCGCCUCGCCAUGCACUCCGGUGGUGAUGUAUCAGAGUCGAGCUUGCUAUGGUGUCCAGGGGCAGAACCACUAUGUGCCACCACGGUCGAGGCCACUGCAUGGGAACCUUCGCAUACCGAGUAGGGCACAUGUGGUGAGGCGUGGGAAGCAGUUACGGUGCAGCAGAAGCAGACCCAACAGCUCCAUGGAGUCUUCUCUCGGGCCAAGCGCAGCUUCUGUGCUGGAGCUGAGUCCUGGGAAGAUGGAGGACAUUGAGGCUCUCGGGAAUCAAGGCCGAUAUUACUGUGCCGCUAAUUUUUCAUUUGAAAAAGGCAGUCUGGUGUGUUCACUAAUAUGUUGUGUGGAAGAAAGGUAUAAAUGUUUUUGUAUGUAGUAACAAAA